CCCGAGAUAAGAACUUGAAAUUACUAUAUAUUCCAAUACCCAGUUACCUUCCCAAUCUUCUCUACAAAAAACCUAGCUCCAAGAUCAUGCAUACCAAAGUAGAAACAAAGGUAACAACAAUUCUACGAACAGUAAACUUUAAAACAAGGGAACAACAAUUCUACAAAUAGUCCUCAAUAUGAACUUCAUUCUCCCAAAAUGUGAAGGGAAAAUUUGAAAGAACCUGAUACAAUAAGUGAACGUCAAAAGCUG
This 252-nucleotide long non-coding RNA is filed under the name Panax ginseng (ginseng). RNAcentral describes it as "long non-coding RNA (PGIN_LNC018588)". Lineage: Eukaryota; Viridiplantae; Streptophyta; Magnoliopsida; Apiales; Araliaceae. The record is from RNAcentral.